UACAAUAUUUUAACUCUUCGUUUUAUUUAAAAAAUUUUUGUGAUUAAUAUUUUUAUUGUUACUAGAUGGUAAAAUAUAAAUAGUAUUUUAUACCUGACUAAUUUUUUUAGCUUUUAUAUAAAUUUUUUAAAUAAGACGAAUGGUCAAAACAUUGGGUACAUAAAUC
Molecule: microRNA precursor, 166 nt
Filed under: Oryza brachyantha (malo sina)
Lineage: Eukaryota; Viridiplantae; Streptophyta; Magnoliopsida; Poales; Poaceae
Description: MIR812 microRNA precursor family
Rfam family: MIR812 microRNA precursor family
Source: Rfam by way of RNAcentral